RNAcentral lists this ribosomal RNA (472 nucleotides) under uncultured organism. RNAcentral's name for it is "partial 16S ribosomal RNA". It matches the Rfam family "Bacterial small subunit ribosomal RNA", at positions 334 to 797 of the family's 1533-position model. The record is from RNAcentral.
CACUCCUACGGGAGGCAGCAGUGGGGAAUUUUGGACCAUGGGCGAAAGCCUGAUCCAGCAAUGCCGCGUGUGUGAAGAAGGCCUUCGGGUUGUAAAGCACUUUUGUCCGGAAAGAAAUCCUUGGCUCUAAUACAGUCGGGGGAUGACGGUACCGGAAGAAUAAGCACCGGCUAACUACGUGCCAGCAGCCGCGGUAAUACGUAGGGUGCGAGCGUUAAUCGGAAUUACUGGGCGUAAAGCGUGCGCAGGCGGUUUGCUAAGACCGAUGUGAAAUCCCCGGGCUCAACCUGGGAACUGCAUUGGUGACUGGCAGGCUAGAGUAUGGCAGAGGGGGGUAGAAUUCCACGUGUAGCAGUGAAAUGCGUAGAGAUGUGGAGGAAUACCGAUGGCGAAGGCAGCCCCCUGGGCCAAUACUGACGCUCAUGCACGAAAGCGUGGGGAGCAAACAGGAUUAGAAACCCCAGUAGUCCCA